AAACGAAUAGUCUAAGCAAGACAAUUAAUUUCGGCUUAAUAAAUCCAAGUUAAACUCUUGGUUCGUUUU
This 69-nucleotide transfer RNA is filed under the name Leptobrachium liui (Chong'an moustache toad). RNAcentral describes it as "tRNA-Arg". It matches the Rfam family "tRNA". Rfam says of the family: Transfer RNA (tRNA) molecules are approximately 80 nucleotides in length. Their secondary structure includes four short double-helical elements and three loops (D, anti-codon, and T loops). Lineage: Eukaryota; Metazoa; Chordata; Amphibia; Anura; Megophryidae. The record is from RNAcentral.